AUACGAAGGGUGCAAGCGUUACUCGGAAUUACUGGGCGUAAAGCGUGCGUAGGUGGUUGUUUAAGUCUGUCGUGAAAGCCCUGGGCUCAACCUGGGAACUGCGAUGGAAACUGGGCGACUAGAGUGUGGUAGAGGGUAGCGGAAUUCCUGGUGUAGCAGUGAAAUGCGUAGAUAUCAGGAGGAACAUCCAUGGCGAAGGCAGCUACCUGGGCCAACACUGACACUGAGGCACGAAAGCGUGGGGAGCAAACAGGAUUAGAUACCCUGGUAGUCCACGCCCUAAACGAUGCGAACUGGAUGUUGGGUGCACUUUGGCACGCAGUAUCGAAGCUAACGCGUUAAGUUCGCCGCCUGGGGAGUACGGUCGCAAGACUGAAACUCAAAUGAAUUGACGGGG
This 397-nucleotide ribosomal RNA is filed under the name uncultured bacterium. Its description in RNAcentral is "partial 16S ribosomal RNA". It matches the Rfam family "Bacterial small subunit ribosomal RNA", at positions 523 to 918 of the family's 1533-position model. The record is from RNAcentral.